AUUGAACGCUGGCGGCAUGCCUUACACAUGCAAGUCGAACGGUAACAGGUUAAGCUGACGAGUGGCGAACGGGUGAGUAAUAUAUCGGAACGUGCCCAGUCGUGGGGGAUAACUGCUCGAAAGAGCAGCUAAUACCGCAUACGACCUGAGGGUGAAAGCGGGGGAUCGCAAGACCUCGCGCGAUUGGAGCGGCCGAUAUCAGAUUAGGUAGUUGGUGGGGUAAAGGCCCACCAAGCCAACGAUCUGUAGCUGGUCUGAGAGGACGACCAGCCACACUGGGACUGAGACACGGCCCAGACUCCUACGGGAGGCCAGCAGUGGGGAAUUUUGGACAAAUGGGGCCGCAAAGCCCUUGAAUCCAAGCCCAUGCCCGCCGUGCCGGGAAAGAAAGGGCCCUUU
This 399-nucleotide ribosomal RNA is filed under the name Burkholderiales bacterium oral taxon A57. Its description in RNAcentral is "bacterial SSU rRNA". It matches the Rfam family "Bacterial small subunit ribosomal RNA", at positions 30 to 419 of the family's 1533-position model. Lineage: Bacteria; Pseudomonadati; Pseudomonadota; Betaproteobacteria; Burkholderiales. The record is from RNAcentral.